This 887-nucleotide ribosomal RNA is filed under the name Calonectria indusiata. Its description in RNAcentral is "eukaryotic LSU rRNA". It matches the Rfam family "Eukaryotic large subunit ribosomal RNA", at positions 58 to 978 of the family's 3401-position model. The record is from RNAcentral. RNAcentral also lists the same sequence under 1 other name. Lineage: Eukaryota; Fungi; Ascomycota; Sordariomycetes; Hypocreales; Nectriaceae.
AAAGAAACCAACAGGGAUUGCCCUAGUAACGGCGAGUGAAGCGGCAACAGCUCAAAUUUGAAAUCUGGCCCUCGGGUCCGAGUUGUAAUUUGUAGAGGAUGCUUUUGGUGAGGUACCUUCCGAGUUCCCUGGAACGGGACGCCAUAGAGGGUGAGAGCCCCGUCUGGUUGGAUACCGAGCCUCUGUAAAGCUCCUUCGACGAGUCGAGUAGUUUGGGAAUGCUGCUCUAAAUGGGAGGUAUAUGUCUUCUAAAGCUAAAUACCGGCCAGAGACCGAUAGCGCACAAGUAGAGUGAUCGAAAGAUGAAAAGCACUUUGAAAAGAGAGUUAAAAAGUACGUGAAAUUGUUGAAAGGGAAGCGCUUAUGACCAGACUUGGGCUUGGUUGAUCAUCCUGGGUUCUCCCUGGUGCACUCUUCCAGUUCAGGCCAGCAUCAGUUCGCUGCGGGGGAUAAAAGUUUUGGGAAUGUGGCUCCCUCGGGAGUGUUAUAGCCCAUUUCAUAAUACCCUGCUCCGGACUGAGGUUCGCGCAUCUGCAAGGAUGCUGGCGUAAUGGUCAUCAGCGACCCGUCUUGAAACACGGACCAAGGAGUCGUCUUCGUAUGCGAGUGUUCGGGUGUUAAACCCCUACGCGUAAUGAAAGUGAACGCAGGUGAGAGCUUCGGCGCAUCAUCGACCGAUCCUGAUGUUCUCGGAUGGAUUUGAGUAAGAGCAUACGGGGCCGGACCCGAAAGAAGGUGAACUAUGCCUGUAUAGGGUGAAGCCAGAGGAAACUCUGGUGGAGGCUCGCAGCGGUUCUGACGUGCAAAUCGAUCGUCAAAUAUGGGCAUGGGGCGAAAGACUAAUCGAACCUUCUAGUAGCUGGUUUCCGCCGAAGUUUCCCUCAGGA